This is a non-coding RNA of Potamilus streckersoni, 93 nucleotides long. Lineage: Eukaryota; Metazoa; Mollusca; Bivalvia; Unionida; Unionidae. The record is from the annotation of a GenBank genome assembly.
GGCCCGAGUGGCUGAGUAGUCUAUAGCGCCCAAUAUUACGGAUCACUUGCAUCUCACCUCUGUCUGCAUGGGUUCGAGUCUCGGUCUCGGCCA